UAGGGAAUCUUCGGCAAUGGGGGCAACCCUGACCGAGCAACGCCGCGUGAGUGAAGAAGGUUUUCGGAUCGUAAAGCUCUGUUGUUAAAGAAGAACACGUAUGAGAGUAACUGUUCAUACGUUGACGGUAUUUAACCAGAAAGUCACGGCUAACUACGUGCUAG
This 164-nucleotide ribosomal RNA is filed under the name uncultured bacterium. Its description in RNAcentral is "partial 16S rRNA". It matches the Rfam family "Bacterial small subunit ribosomal RNA", at positions 355 to 511 of the family's 1533-position model. The record is from RNAcentral.